RNAcentral lists this ribosomal RNA (492 nucleotides) under uncultured bacterium. Its description in RNAcentral is "partial 16S ribosomal RNA". It matches the Rfam family "Bacterial small subunit ribosomal RNA", at positions 29 to 507 of the family's 1533-position model. The record is from RNAcentral.
AGUGAACGCUGGCGGUAGGCCUAACACAUGCAAGUCGAACGGCAGCACAGUAAUAGCUUGCUCUUACGGUUGGCGAGUGGCGGACGGGUGAGGAAUACAUCGGAAUCUACUUUUUCGUGGGGGAUAACGUAGGGAAACUUACGCUAAUACCGCAUACGACCUACGGGGGAAAGCAUGGGAUCUUCCGACCUUGCGCGGUUGAAUGAGCCGAUGUCGGAUUGGCUAGUUGGCGGGGUAAAGGCCCACCAAGGCGACGAUCCGUUGCCGGGCUGAGAGGAUGAACAGCCACACUGGGACUGAGACACGGCCCAGACUCCUAAGGGGGGGAACAGGGGGGAAUUUUGGGCAAUGGGGGAAAGCCUGAUCCAGCAAUGCCGCGGGGGGGAAGAAGGGCUUCGGGUUGUAAAGCCCUUUUGGUGGGAACGAAAAGGACGGUGGUAAAACCACGGUUUGAUGACGGGACCCAAAAAAAAAGCACCGGCUAACUUCGUG